CCUACGGGAGGCAGCAGUGGGGAAUAUUGCACAAUGGGCGGAAGCCUGAUGCAGCGACGCCGCGUGAGGGAUGAAGGCCUUCGGGUUGUAAACCUCUUUCAGCAGGGACGAAGCGUGAGUGACGGUACCUGCAGAAGAAGCACCGGCUAACUACGUGCCAGCAGCCGCGGUAAUACGUAGGGUGCGAGCGUUGUCCGGAAUUACUGGGCGUAAAGAGUUCGUAGGCGGUUUGUCGCGUCGUUUGUGAAAACCCGGGGCUCAACUUCGGGCUUGCAGGCGAUACGGGCAGACUUGAGUGUUUCAGGGGAGACUGGAAUUCCUGGUGUAGCGGUGAAAUGCGCAGAUAUCAGGAGGAACACCGGUGGCGAAGGCGGGUCUCUGGGAAACAACUGACGCUGAGGAACGAAAGCGUGGGUAGCAAACAGGAUUAGAUACCCUGGUAGUCCACGCCGUAAACGGUGGGCGCUAGGUGUGGGUUCCUUCCACGGGAUCUGUGCCGUAGCUAACGCAUUAAGCGCCCGCCUGGGGAGUACGGCCGCAAGGCUAAAACUCAAAUGAAUUGACGGCUGAGACGNGCGAGCGACGACGAGGAGAG
RNAcentral lists this ribosomal RNA (595 nucleotides) under uncultured bacterium. RNAcentral's name for it is "bacterial SSU rRNA". It matches the Rfam family "Bacterial small subunit ribosomal RNA", at positions 338 to 944 of the family's 1533-position model. The record is from RNAcentral.